Molecule: unclassified non-coding RNA, 692 nt
Filed under: Hevea brasiliensis (rubber tree)
Lineage: Eukaryota; Viridiplantae; Streptophyta; Magnoliopsida; Malpighiales; Euphorbiaceae
Source: RNAcentral
CAGAUCGAUAUUAAAAAUAAUUCAUACAGGAAUCGGGAAAGUAUUCAUUUAAAACGAACAAAGUUGUCAACUUUCAGACAAUUUUGACAGAAAUUGCCUAUCAAGUACCAAAAGUUCCACAUCUUAUUAACUCAAAGCACUAAAAUUCCAGUUCAAAGACAUAGAGAACUAUUCAUUUUCACCUUUUAUGGGAUAUCCCAUGGCUUAGGCUCAGGAAUUGCUACAACCAUUCCUUGAAGCUCCGGUGAGAGGACCACCUGACAACCCAGCCUAGAAUGUUUGUUCAAAACCCUAGCCCUAGAGUUCCUCUUCAGCACAUACUGCUCAUCGUAAGAAGCUUUUGGAAGCUUCUCGAGCCAUUCUUGAGCAAUGUGCACCUCACACUCGGAGGAACACGCAUCAAUGUCUUCAAGGCGAUGAGAAUCCGGGUCGAUUAACCCGUGGUUGGUUAGCGCUUUGAGCAGAGUUUGACCCGAGAGCCCUAUAAUCUCCCGUUUACAGCCCUCAGGGUCAACGGCGAAGAGCUUGACGAUCCGAUCGGCGACUUUGGCGGAGCCGGAGCGGGACGAACAUGAGGAUGCGGAGGAUCGAGUGAUUGAAAAAAUCGAAGGGUUUCGUGCGAUUCGUGAGGCGAAUCUCUGCAAAUUAGCGACCGCCAUCUUCGAAUGUUAGCCAAUUUUGGGGGAAAUGAG